UCCGAUUUGUUGGACCAAUCGAUAUCGGAUUGAGUCCACAGCUUGGGAACAUCAUAAUGUCGUGGGUGCAGUCAUUUGGUGAGUUUUGAGUGAAAUCGAAUUGCCAAAACUAUGCAAUACACCAACCACUCCAUUAGAGAACAAACUUCGUACGAACAUCAAUAGUCCAAUUUCUUGAACCAAUCGAUAUCGGAUUGAGUCCAAAACUUGGGGAACAUCAUAAUAUGGUGGGAGGAGUCAUACGGUGAGCUUUGAG
This 256-nucleotide long non-coding RNA is filed under the name Prunus persica (peach). RNAcentral describes it as "long non-coding RNA (PPER_LNC008078)". The record is from RNAcentral. Lineage: Eukaryota; Viridiplantae; Streptophyta; Magnoliopsida; Rosales; Rosaceae.